Molecule: ribosomal RNA, 700 nt
Filed under: uncultured bacterium
Lineage: Bacteria
Description: bacterial SSU rRNA
Rfam family: Bacterial small subunit ribosomal RNA
Source: RNAcentral
AGUCGAACGCGAGAGGGGCUUCGGCCCCAAUUGAGUGGCGAACGGGUGAGUAACGCGUGGGUGACCUACCUUCGAGUGGGGGAUAACGUCCCGAAAGGGACGCUAAUACCGCAUGACAUCCUACUCUUGAACGAGUGGAGAUCAAAGCUGGGGAUCGCAAGACCUGGCGCUUGUUGAGGGGCCCGCGUCUGAUUAGCUAGUUGGUGAGGUAAUGGCCCACCAAGGCGACGAUCAGUAUCCGGCCUGAGAGGGCGGACGGACACACUGGGACUGAGACACGGCCCAGACUCCUACGGGAGGCAGCAGUGGGGAAUUGUUCGCAAUGGGCGAAAGCCUGACGACGCAACGCCGCGUGGAGGAUGAAGGUCUUCGGAUUGUAAACUCCUGUUGCUCGGGACGAAAAGCUCUGGCCUAACACGUCAGAGUCUGACGGUACCGGGUGAGGAAGCCCCGGCUAACUCUGUGCCAGCAGCCGCGGUAAUACAGAGGGGGCAAGCGUUGUUCGGAAUUACUGGGCGUAAAGGGCGCGUAGGCGGCCUGCUAAGUCGAACGUGAAAUCCCCGGGCUCAACCCGGGAACUGCGUCCGAUACUGGUUGGCUUGAAUCCGGGAGAGGGAUGCGGAAUUCCAGGUGUAGCGGUGAAAUGCGUAGAUAUCUGGAGGAACACCGGUGGCGAAGGCGGCAUCCUGGACCGGCAUUG